GAAUUAGUAACUUAAUUGGUAAAGGAUUUCCCUGUCACGGAAAUAGAUGUCGGUUCGACCCCGACCUAAUUCG
Molecule: transfer RNA, 73 nt
Filed under: Ceratocystis fimbriata
Lineage: Eukaryota; Fungi; Ascomycota; Sordariomycetes; Microascales; Ceratocystidaceae
Also listed under: 2 other names
Description: tRNA-Asp
Rfam family: tRNA
About the family: Transfer RNA (tRNA) molecules are approximately 80 nucleotides in length.
Source: RNAcentral